UACGUAGGGGGCUAGCGUUGUCCGGAAUCAUUGGGCGUAAAGCGCGCUUAGGCGGCCCGUUAAGUCCGCUGUAAAAGUCCAGGGCUCAACCCUGGAACGCCGGUGGAUACUGUCGGGCUAGAGUCCGGAAGAGGCGAGUGGAAUUCCUGGUGUAGCGGUGGAAUGCGCAGAUAUCAGGAGGAACACCGAUGGCGAAGGCAGCUCGCUGGGACGGUACUGACGCUGAGAAGCGAAAGCGUGGGGAGCGAACAGG
This 253-nucleotide ribosomal RNA is filed under the name uncultured bacterium. Its description in RNAcentral is "partial 16S ribosomal RNA". It matches the Rfam family "Bacterial small subunit ribosomal RNA", at positions 524 to 776 of the family's 1533-position model. The record is from RNAcentral.